UGCGAAGGUAGCAUAAUCACUUGUUCAUUAAAUGUGGACUAGUAUGAACGGCAUCACGAGGGUCAUACUGUCUCCCUAUUCCAAUCAAUGAAACUAUUUUUCCCGUGAAGAAACGGGAAUUAAACUAUAAGACGAGAAGACCCCAUGGAGCUUUAAACCCAGAACAUCUACCAACCCCCCCCAUUUCUACCUAGCUAAAGUAUUUAUGUUUUCUGGUUUUCGGUUGGGGCGACCACGGAGCAAAGAAAAUCCUCCACGAUGAACAAGCUUUACUUUUACCUAUGAAGCACACUUCUAAGGAUCCUUAAUAUGACAUUUCUUGACCCAAGCCUACUUGAUCAACGAACCUAGUUACCCUGGGGAUAACAGCGCAAUCCAUUUCAAGAGCCCAUAUCAACAAGUGGGUUUACGACCUCGAU
RNAcentral lists this ribosomal RNA (419 nucleotides) under Probreviceps sp. LC010. RNAcentral's name for it is "partial 16S ribosomal RNA". It matches the Rfam family "Bacterial large subunit ribosomal RNA", at positions 1949 to 2530 of the family's 2925-position model. The record is from RNAcentral. Lineage: Eukaryota; Metazoa; Chordata; Amphibia; Anura; Brevicipitidae.